RNAcentral lists this ribosomal RNA (1081 nucleotides) under uncultured archaeon. RNAcentral describes it as "bacterial SSU rRNA". It matches the Rfam family "Archaeal small subunit ribosomal RNA", at positions 345 to 1429 of the family's 1478-position model. The record is from RNAcentral.
AACCUCCGCAAUGCGGGAAACCGCGACGGGGUCACCCCGAGUGUCACCCGCUGAGGGUGACUUUUGCCCGGUCUAACCAGCCGGGUGAAUAAGGGGAGGGCAAGCCUGGUGUCAGCCGCCGCGGUAAUACCAGCUCCCCGAGUGGUGGGGACGAUUAUUGGGCCUAAAGCGUCCGUAGCCGGCCUAGUAAGUCUCCCGUUAAAUCUGGCGGCAUAACCGUCAGGCUGCGGGAGAUACUGCUAGGCUAGGGGGCGGAAGAGGCCGGCGGUACUCUUGGGGUAGGGGUGAAAUCCUAUAAUCCCAGGAGGACCAUCAGUGGCGAAGGCGGCCGGCCAGGACGCGCCCGACGGUGAGGGACGAAAGCUGGGGGAGCGAACCGGAUUAGAUACCCGGGUAAUCCCAGCUGUAAACGAUGCGGGCUAAGUGUCGGAACGGCCUUGAGCCGUUCCGGUGCUGCAGGGAAGCCGUUAAGCCCGCCGCCUGGGGAGUACGGCCGCAAGGCUGAAACUUAAAGGAAUUGGCGGGGGAGCACCACAAGGGGUGAAGCCUGCGGUUUAAUUGGAGUCAACGCCGGGAACCUUACCGGGGGAGACAGCUGGAUGAAGGCCAGAUUGAAGGUCUUGCCAGACUAGCUGAGAGGAGGUGCAUGGCCGUCGCCAGCUCGUGCCGUGAGGUAUCCCGUUAAGUCGGGCAACGAGCGAGACCCACACCCCUAGUUGCUAACGGAAGCCGAAAGGUUUCCGUGCACUCUAGGGGGACUGCCGCCGAUAAGGCGGAGGAAGGAGUGGGCCACGGCAGGUCAGUAUGCCCCGAAUCCCCCGGGCCACACGCGGGCUGCAAUGGCGAAGACAAUGGGUUCCGACCCCGAAAGGGGAAGGUAAUCCCUAAACUUCGCCGUAGUUGGGAUCGAGGGCUGAAACCCGCCCUCGUGAACAUGGAAUCCCUAGUAAUCGCGCGUCACCAUCGCGCGGUGAAUACGUCCCUGCUCCUUGCACACACCGCCCGUCGCUCCAACCGAGCUAAGUCUAGGUGAGGUUUGGUCGUGCUGGCCAAGUCGAACCUAGGCUUGGCGAGGGGGGAG